CCCACCUGGACAGUGUCGUAUCCGAGGAUGCCUGUCAUGCUGCCGGUGCCGUAGGUGAUGGAGACUGUCUCGCUGGUGGACUGGUAGGUGGAAGAAUCCUCAGGGUUGAAGCGGUUGUGCUUCUUCAGGAAGUCCUUCAGCAGUAGACUGAGGGCACCCACAGGUUGGAGGAGCCGGUGUCAAAGACGACGGUGAAAUCCUGGGCAGGAGUUCCGAUGCCGAUAGUGCCGAAGUACUCCAUCUGUCCAGGCGAGGACAGGGCAGUUCACG
This 270-nucleotide long non-coding RNA is filed under the name Homo sapiens (human). RNAcentral's name for it is "HSALNT0175802". Lineage: Eukaryota; Metazoa; Chordata; Mammalia; Primates; Hominidae. The record is from RNAcentral.